This 211-nucleotide long non-coding RNA is filed under the name Setaria italica (foxtail millet). Its description in RNAcentral is "long non-coding RNA (SITA_LNC004554)". Lineage: Eukaryota; Viridiplantae; Streptophyta; Magnoliopsida; Poales; Poaceae. The record is from RNAcentral.
GUCAUUUCACUAUUACCAAGACUGGAUACAUGGUAACCAAGUCAGAUGGAUUUCAUGGGGAUGAUGAAACUCCCCCCUCUCUUCUCAUAAUGAUCAUAUUUAAUGCUCAUGAAACUGACUCUAAGGGCGCAGCUGCCAUGUGCAUUAAAAAAAUUAUCAAACGAAAGAACGCACUACUGUAUAUUAAAUCUCCUGAACUCCGUAAAUUCUC